UACAGAGGGGGCAAGCGUUGUUCGGAAUUACUGGGCGUAAAGGGCGCGUAGGCGGCCUGCUAAGUCGAACGUGAAAUCCCCGGGCUCAACCCGGGAACUGCGUCCGAUACUGGUUGGCUUGAAUUCGGGAGAGGGAUGUGGAAUUCCAGGUGUAGCGGUGAAAUGCGUAGAUAUCUGGAGGAACACCGGUGGCGAAGGCGGCAUCCUGGACCGAUAUUGACGCUGAUGCGCGAAAGCCAGGGGAGCAAACGGGAUUAGAAACCCCCGUAGUCC
Molecule: ribosomal RNA, 273 nt
Filed under: uncultured bacterium
Lineage: Bacteria
Description: partial 16S ribosomal RNA
Rfam family: Bacterial small subunit ribosomal RNA
Source: RNAcentral